Molecule: transfer RNA, 73 nt
Organism: Caldalkalibacillus thermarum TA2.A1
Lineage: Bacteria; Bacillati; Bacillota; Bacilli; Caryophanales; Bacillaceae
Rfam family: tRNA
About the family: Transfer RNA (tRNA) molecules are approximately 80 nucleotides in length. Their secondary structure includes four short double-helical elements and three loops (D, anti-codon, and T loops).
Source: Rfam
GGGGCCAUAGCUCAGCUGGGAGAGCGCCUGCUUUGCACGCAGGAGGUCAGCGGUUCGAUCCCGCUUGGCUCCA